GGGGAUUUAGCUCAGUGGCCUAAGUGCCUGCUUUGCAAGCAGGAAGUCAUGAGUUCAAUCCCUG
Molecule: transfer RNA, 64 nt
Filed under: Cavia porcellus (domestic guinea pig)
Lineage: Eukaryota; Metazoa; Chordata; Mammalia; Rodentia; Caviidae
Rfam family: tRNA
About the family: Transfer RNA (tRNA) molecules are approximately 80 nucleotides in length. Their secondary structure includes four short double-helical elements and three loops (D, anti-codon, and T loops). Further hydrogen bonds mediate the characteristic L-shaped molecular structure. tRNAs have two regions of fundamental functional importance: the anti-codon, which is responsible for specific mRNA codon recognition, and the 3' end, to which the tRNAs corresponding amino acid is attached (by aminoacyl-tRNA synthetases). tRNAs cope with the degeneracy of the genetic code in two manners: having more than one tRNA (with a specific anti-codon) for a particular amino acid; and 'wobble' base-pairing, i.e. permitting non-standard base-pairing at the 3rd anti-codon position.
Source: Rfam by way of RNAcentral